This 658-nucleotide long non-coding RNA is filed under the name Fukomys damarensis (Damara mole-rat). RNAcentral describes it as "lncRNA (ENSFDAG00000033459.1)". Lineage: Eukaryota; Metazoa; Chordata; Mammalia; Rodentia; Bathyergidae. The record is from RNAcentral.
GGAGUUUGAAAGACACAGAGGGCUCCACUUCUGGAGGAAACUGCUGGCUUCCUGGAACUUGAACAAGAGCCAGUGCAGUAGAGAAAGUAGAGGCACAGCAGAGUUUCGAUUUGCUGCCUUGCUUCAGCCUCAGAGGAAGGGAGACGGUGUCUGCCCAUGGGCAUCUUCUGGGUCAGUACGGCAGGGCAGGCCACCAGGCAGCCACCCGGACACAGAGGAGUUUCCACCUCGACCUUCUCAGAUCCUCACCUUCGAUCCCAUUUCACAAAAACCCACUGAGAGACAGAGCCAGGUGCACCCGGUACCGCUGACACACAGACCCUCUGUGCGCUGCGCGUGUGUUCGGAGAGGAAGUGAAGGCCCACAAGGAAGGAGCUCCUCCCCCGCUGGUCAGCUCCCUGGAGGAGAAGACCGCUGUCUACGGCCAGGUCUCAGGUUCUCCCUCCUGGCCCUGCAUCAUUUUGGCAAAAGCAAUGCUCAAGUACCAGUUUUGGAGGAGAUCUGAAGAUGCUUUCAGCACACAUGGGAUCCACGUGUCUCUGUGAACAUGGAGAGGAGGCUUGGUAGAAGCAAGAGGAAAGUUACCCCCUAGGCUUUUUCUUAGUUUCUCUGCUGUUGCUGUCUCUUUGAUCGCCAUAGUAAUUUUGGUAAGUAGGCC